This 424-nucleotide ribosomal RNA is filed under the name uncultured bacterium. RNAcentral describes it as "bacterial SSU rRNA". It matches the Rfam family "Bacterial small subunit ribosomal RNA", at positions 355 to 796 of the family's 1533-position model. The record is from RNAcentral.
UGGGGAAUAUUGGACAAUGGGCGCAAGCCUGAUCCAGCAAUGCCGCGUGAGUGAUGAAGGCCUUAGGGUUGUAAAGCUCUUUCGCCCGCGACGAUGAUGACGGUAGCGGGAGAAGAAGCCCCGGCUAACUUCGUGCCAGCAGCCGCGGUAAUACGAAGGGGGCGAGCGUUGUUCGGAUUUACUGGGCGUAAAGGGCGCGUAGGCGGCCCUCCAAGUCAGGCGUGAAAGCCCCGGGCUCAACCUGGGAGGUGCGCUUGGGACUGGCGGGCUGGAGUUCGGGAGAGGAGAGUGGAAUUCCCAGUGUAGAGGUGAAAUUCGUAGAUAUUGGGAAGAACACCAGUGGCGAAGGCGGCUCUCUGGACCGAGACUGACGCUGAGGCGCGAAAGCGUGGGGAGCAAACAGGAUUAGAUACCCCCGUAGUCC